GGAGGGGAAAAAAAAACACGUAUUCUUCUAAUUACAGAAUAUUAAGGGUACCUCUAGAUUGAUAGAUUCUCUAUAAUUAUAAAGAACAUCAAUGAUCAAUCAAUUACAGAACCAAGCCCUUCAACUACUUCAUGACAGAGAUCAAUACAACGUACUCAAAGAAGAAGAAGGAGGAGGGCAGGGCUGCGCAUGACAUGAACACAGGAUUCCAGGUACUGUUAACCUGAAAAGAAAGAAAAAAAGGCAUAAAAAAAAAAUUAAGCUAUGCGACGCAUGACAUAAGCUCGGGGAGGAGGUGGGCUGCUGCAGAUGACCAUGAGAGCGAGAGCAAUAACAAGAGCCAUCAAAAAUCCUGUGAGGUCCACACCAACACCAUCGCCUUCGCUUAUCUCCGAGCAAACGAUUUUUCCCAUCACCUUCACCUGUAACGCCUUGAUCGCAAGUACCAAUUAUUCCCUUUCUUUUUUCCCUUCCCUUCCUUUACUGAAAUAUUUACCUUAUUAUUAUUAUUAUAUGGUUAGAGUCAAGCCGACAUUGGAAAUCUCAUGUGAAAAGAAGCUUCGCUUUCCAUUUGGUCGUCUGGAAGGAAAAAUCAACACAGGAUUAUGAAAGCAAUGACAACGCCCAUGCUAUGACAUUGAGAAGAUCCAUUCUCAAUACCUUGCGUAAAAUUGAAGCUUAUUUGUCAACUUGAGAAUUGGGUUGGGCCAAACUAUGAGCCUAUGAGUUCUGUUCUACAAGGAAAAGAAACCAAAACUCUGGCCCAAGAUGAUCAGAGACUUCUAU
This 786-nucleotide unclassified non-coding RNA is filed under the name Hevea brasiliensis (rubber tree). Lineage: Eukaryota; Viridiplantae; Streptophyta; Magnoliopsida; Malpighiales; Euphorbiaceae. The record is from RNAcentral.